Molecule: transfer RNA, 29 nt
Filed under: Floridichthys carpio (goldspotted killifish)
Lineage: Eukaryota; Metazoa; Chordata; Actinopteri; Cyprinodontiformes; Cyprinodontidae
Description: partial tRNA-Thr
Source: RNAcentral
UGCAUUAGUAGCUCAGCACCAGAGCGCCG